UGCAAGUCGAACGGCAGCACGGACUUCGGUCUGGUGGCGAGUGGCGAACGGGUGAGUAAUAUAUCGGAACGUGCCCAGUCGUGGGGGAUAACGUAGCGAAAGCUACGCUAAUACCGCAUACGAUCUACGGAUGAAAGCGGGGGAUCGCAAGACCUCGCGCGAUUGGAGCGGCCGAUAUCAGAUUAGGUAGUUGGUGAGGUAAAGGCUCACCAAGCCGACGAUCUGUAGCUGGUCUGAGAGGACGACCAGCCACACUGGGACUGAGACACGGCCCAGACUCCUACGGGAGGCAGCAGUGGGGAAUUUUGGACAAUGGACGCAAGUCUGAUCCAGCCAUUCCGCGUGCAGGACGAAGGCCUUCGGGUUGUAAACUGCUUUUGUACAGAACGAAAAGGUCUCUAUUAAUACUAGGGGCGCAGGACGGUACUGUAAGAAUAAGCACCGGCUAACUACGUGCCAGCAGCCGCGGUAAUACGUAGGGUGCAAGCGUUAAUCGGAAUUACUGGGCGUAAAGCGUGCGCAGGCGGUUAUGUAAGACAGAGGUGAAAUCCCCGGGCUCAACCUGGGAACUGCCUUUGUGACUGCAUAGCUGGAGUACGGCAGAGGGGGAUGGAAUUCCGCGUGUAGCAGUGAAAUGCGUAGAUAUGCGGAGGAACACCGAUGGCGAAGGCAAUCCCCUGGGCCUGUACUGACGCUCAUG
This 700-nucleotide ribosomal RNA is filed under the name uncultured bacterium. RNAcentral describes it as "bacterial SSU rRNA". It matches the Rfam family "Bacterial small subunit ribosomal RNA", at positions 56 to 751 of the family's 1533-position model. The record is from RNAcentral.